UAACAAUGUUGAAUAUUGCAAUCAUUCUCUACCAUAUCCAUGAGUAUGCACAUUCAUUAUCUGUUCUCAAAAAAUUGUUCCAGAAUAUCGAGCCAAUUAAAGAGCAAAUAGCUCUCCGUGAUGCCUUCUGCUAAGGUCAACUGCAUCUCGUCAAUUUGUAGACGUGUAUCUCAUCUUCUAUGGAUGUAAACACUAAGCAAUGUGAUGUUUCUUUUCUGUUUAACAUGAAAUCUAAUAAGUUGUAUGUAUCUUUUUUUUUAAUAUUUUCUAGACAUAAAGGAAAAAUUAUGGAAGCAGUUCC
This is a long non-coding RNA of Zingiber officinale, 301 nucleotides long. RefSeq lists it as uncharacterized. The record is from RefSeq and is a predicted model, not a curated record. NCBI's taxonomy places the organism in Eukaryota, Viridiplantae, Streptophyta, Magnoliopsida, Zingiberales, Zingiberaceae. The transcript is spliced from 3 exons.